This 464-nucleotide ribosomal RNA is filed under the name uncultured bacterium. RNAcentral describes it as "partial 16S ribosomal RNA". It matches the Rfam family "Bacterial small subunit ribosomal RNA", at positions 28 to 507 of the family's 1533-position model. The record is from RNAcentral.
GACGAACGCUGGCGGCGUGCUUAACACAUGCAAGUCGAACGCUGAACCCGCUUCGGUGGGGGAUGAGUGGCGAACGGGUGAGUAACACGUGGGCAACCUGCCCCCGGCUCUGGGAUAACUCCAAGAAAUUGGGGCUAAUACCGGAUGUGACCGCUGGCCGCAUGGUCUGGUGGUGGAAAGGGUUUCCGGCUGGGGAUGGGCCCGCGGCCUAUCAGCUUGUUGGUGGGGUAGUGGCCUACCAAGGCGACGACGGGUAGCCGGCCUGGGAGGGUGACCGGCCACACUGGACUGAGACACGGCCCAGACGCCUACGGGAGGCAGCAGUGGGGAAUAUUGCGCAAUGGGCGGAAGCCUGACGCAGCGACGCCGCGUGGGGGAUGACGGCCUUCGGGUUGUAAACCUCUUUCAGCAGGGACGAAGCGCAAGUGACGGUACCUGCAGAAGAAGCACCGGCCAACUACGUG